GGCAGUUCUUGGGUGACACACCCCAGAAUCGGGCUCUCUCCUCUCUGGUUCCGGAUGCUUCACCCGAGAACCACA
Non-coding RNA from Myotis lucifugus (little brown bat), 75 nucleotides. NCBI's taxonomy places the organism in Eukaryota, Metazoa, Chordata, Mammalia, Chiroptera, Vespertilionidae. The record is from Rfam.